GGAGUAAAGAAUAACUGAAGCCUGGGCCAUGCAUCCUUUUAGGGUGGCACAAGCAUCUCAACCUCAGUACAGAGAUGUACAGCCUCCUUAUUCACACCUCUGAGUUCCUGGUGAUGGUAAUCAAAGAGGUCUUGGAAUUUACUAUUGAAAGAUGAAAAAAAAGUCAAAUUUGUACAAAUCAGAACUCUCCCAGCUUACUUGUGAGUCUGCUUCUGCAUAUACUCGGACUAUGUCUUCUGUACCAGAUGGCCGGACAAAAGCUCGGGAAAGCUCGUACUUCUUCACCAGGUCAUUGAUUGCCUCCUGUAGUCCUGG
Molecule: long non-coding RNA, 315 nt
Organism: Pteropus alecto (black flying fox)
Lineage: Eukaryota; Metazoa; Chordata; Mammalia; Chiroptera; Pteropodidae
Exons: 3
Source: RefSeq, a predicted model, not a curated record